UACGAAGGGGGCUAGCGUUGCUCGGAAUUACUGGGCGUAAAGCGCACGUAGGCGGCUUCUUAAGUCGGUGGUGAAAUCCUGGAGCUCAACUCCAGAACUGCCUUUGAUACUGGGAGGCUCGAGUCCGGAAGAGGUGAGUGGAACUGCGAGUGUAGAGGUGAAAUUCGUAGAUAUUCGCAAGAACACCAGUGGCGAAGGCGGCUCACUGGUCCGGUACUGACGCUGAGGUGCGAAAGCGUGGGGAGCAAACAGG
Molecule: ribosomal RNA, 253 nt
Filed under: uncultured bacterium
Lineage: Bacteria
Description: partial 16S ribosomal RNA
Rfam family: Bacterial small subunit ribosomal RNA
Source: RNAcentral